Long non-coding RNA from Monodelphis domestica (gray short-tailed opossum), 1601 nucleotides. The record is from Ensembl. NCBI's taxonomy places the organism in Eukaryota, Metazoa, Chordata, Mammalia, Didelphimorphia, Didelphidae.
UAUUUUCUAGAUUAGGAAACUGAGGUCCAGAGAGCUGAAGGUCUUGAGUCCGAGAUGGGAUUUGAAUCCAGAACUGGUUCCAAAAUCAGUGAUCAAUUCCAUUGUACUAUAAGAAAUAAGGCAUGGGAAGGGGACAGGAGGCAGAAUCCUUAAGGAAUAAGAGACUUGGAAAGAUGCAAUAAAAGUCUCAAAUUAUUCUUCUCCCCAUGUUCAGGAUAGAAAAUCCAAAGAACCCCACCGUAUGGGUUUCGCUAUACAAGAAACUGAAUGCCUGAAAGGAGAAACCCGCACUCCUAGCAAAUGUGCCUUCAAAAAAGACGGGGAAGAGAAGUAUUGUCGGGCAGCAGUCAAAUUCAUCUGUGACGGUGAAGCUGAUGUUUGGGUCCGCUGUUCUCCCAUGGCGAGUAACACGGUAAGUGAUUCCUGAUGCCCUUCCUGACCCUAGAGUCAGCAGUUACAAGAAGAGCAGCCAAAUAGGAAGGGGUCAAUUGGGAAGAUUCAUAGGCAUCUAGCUAUAAUUAUGCAAUUAGUGAAUGUAGUGCAGUGACAAGAACACGGGUUUUAUGCCCAAAUGCCUGAGUUUGAAUACCACCUUGGCCACUGAGAGAAUGGAAGAGCCAAGAUUUACUCUUCCCUUUGGACCUACUAUUCUUUCCACCAUAGAACAGCUGCCUCAUGGAGUUAAUAGAAUUGGAAACUGAGGGGACACCCAUCAAUUGGGAAAUUGCUGCACAAAUUGUGGUAUAUGGUUGAGAUGGAAUACUAUUGAGGAAUAAGAGAUGACAAGGGGUGGAUGUUUUCAGAAAAAAUGUGGGAAGACCUAUGUGAACUGAUACAAACUGAAGUGAGCAGAGCCAGGAGAUCAUUGUACACUGAAAUAGCAAUAUUGUAUGAUGAUCAACAAUGACUUAGCUAUUCUGAUCAAUACAAUCCUUACGCUGAUCAAAGGCAAUUCCAAAAACCUAAUGAUGAAAAAUACUAUUGAACUCCAAAUGAAAAAAAAUGAUGAGUCUGAAUGCAUAUUGAAGCAUAUUUUUUUAACUUUCCUUAUUUUUUCUUAAGUGUUUUUUUUUGGUUUGGGUUUUUUUGCAACAUAUAUAAAAUGGAAAUAUGCUUUAUAUGCAUGUAUAAUCUAUAUAAAACUUAUUGCCUUUUCAAGAAGGGGAUAGGAGAAGGAGGGAGGGAGUGAAUUUAGAACUAAAAAUUAAAAAAAAUAUGUUAAAAUUUUUAUUUACAAUUAAUUGUGAAAAUAUAAAAUGAAAGAGAGGAAGGAAAAAAGGAAAGAAAAAAGGAAGGAAGAAAGAUAGGAAGGAAUGAACAAACGAACGAAGAAACAAAGGAAUGAAGGAAAGAAGGAAGGAACGAAGGAUCUUAAUAAGAUUGUAAAACUAGAGAAAUGGGAAUUAUUAUCACUGGUCCCUAAAUAUUGAACUCUAUUCUUUAUCCUACAGAUUGUCAGAAGAAGCAAAAGAGGAAUUAAAGUUCCUGGUUUCGUGAAAAAGUUCCUCAAAGAUGUUGUUAGUGAGACCAUUUCCCAUAGUAUUCCUAAAGCCAUUUCAGCAGUGAAUAAACUUAUUAAAAAAAAGAAAAAAGGUGCUACA